UGUGACAGAGAAGACCCUAUGAAGCUUGACUGUAUCUUGGAAUUGGGUUCGGGCUUAUCUUGCGCAGACUAGGUGGGAGGCUAUGAAGAUUUCCUUCCGGGGAAGUUGGAGCCAACAGUGAGAGACCACUCUGGAGAGGCUAGAAUCCUAAUGGUGAUCCUUGAAUCAGGACACUUGACAGUUUCAGGUGGGCAGUUUUUCUGGGGCGGAAGCCUCAUAAAAGGUAACUGAGGCGCGCAAUGGUCCCCUCAGUCUGGACGGAAAUCAGACAUUGAGUGUAAAGGCAAAAGGGGGCUUGACUGCAAGACCUACAAGUCGAGCAGGAGCGAAAGCUGGCCUUAGUGAUCCGACGGUGCCGUGUGGAAGGGCCGUCGCUCAACGAAUAAAAGUUACUCUAGGGAUAACA
Molecule: unclassified non-coding RNA, 406 nt
Filed under: Tetradesmus obliquus
Lineage: Eukaryota; Viridiplantae; Chlorophyta; Chlorophyceae; Sphaeropleales; Scenedesmaceae
Description: contains 16S-23S intergenic spacer region
Rfam family: Bacterial large subunit ribosomal RNA
Source: RNAcentral